CCUACGGGUGGCAGCAGUGAGGAAUAUUGGUCAAUGGGAGGAAUCCUGAACCAGCCAUGCCGCGUGCAGGACGAAGGCUCUACGAGUUGUAAACUGCUUUUGUACCGGGGUAAAAUGCUCUACGAGUAGGGUUUUGAAAGUACGGUACGAAUAAGGAUCGGCUAACUCCGUGCCAGCAGCCGCGGUAAUACGGAGGAUCCGAGCGUUAUCCGGAUUUAUUGGGUUUAAAGGGUGCGUGGGUUGUUUUAUAAGUUAGCGGUGAAAUACCGAUGCUCAACUUCGGAAUUGCCUCUGAUACUGUUCGGCUAGAGAGUAGUUGCGGUAGGCGGAAUGUAUGGUGUAGCGGUGAAAUGCUUAGAGAUCAUACAGAACACCGAGUGCGAAGGCAGCUUACCAAGCUACUUCUGACGUUGAGGCACGAAAGCGUGGGGAGCAAACAGGAUUAGAUACCCUAGUAGUC
Molecule: ribosomal RNA, 460 nt
Filed under: uncultured bacterium
Lineage: Bacteria
Description: partial 16S ribosomal RNA
Rfam family: Bacterial small subunit ribosomal RNA
Source: RNAcentral